This 253-nucleotide ribosomal RNA is filed under the name uncultured bacterium. RNAcentral's name for it is "partial 16S ribosomal RNA". It matches the Rfam family "Bacterial small subunit ribosomal RNA", at positions 524 to 776 of the family's 1533-position model. The record is from RNAcentral.
UACGUAGGCAGCAAGCGUUGUUCGGAGUUACUGGGCGUCAAGGGUGCGUAGGUGGCCUUAUAAGUCAGCGGUGAAAGUCUGCAGCUUAACUGUAGAACUGCCAUUGAUACUGUAAGGCUUGAGUACUGAUGAGGUAGGCGGAAUUGAUAGUGUAGCGGUGAAAUGCAUAGAUAUUAUCAAGAACACCGAUUGCGAAGGCAGCUUACUAAGGAGUUACUGACACUGAGGCACGAAAGCGUGGGGAUCAAACAGG